This 204-nucleotide long non-coding RNA is filed under the name Carica papaya (papaya). RNAcentral describes it as "long non-coding RNA (CPAP_LNC006789)". The record is from RNAcentral. Lineage: Eukaryota; Viridiplantae; Streptophyta; Magnoliopsida; Brassicales; Caricaceae.
GCACGGAUAUGAGUGAUGCCCUAAUACCGGGUUAAAUGACCCUUUUAGCCAAAAGAGUGUCCUCAAGCGCUUUGACAUAGGUGUUGGGCUUCAUAAGGGCAAUGCGGUAAAAAAUAUCCACUUUAAGAUUUUUCAAGAAUUUAUGAGCCUUUCAACCCUUGAACGCAACUAAUAGGGGAGCGAAUUAGGAUAGCUGGACAAACC